Molecule: ribosomal RNA, 243 nt
Filed under: uncultured bacterium
Lineage: Bacteria
Description: partial 16S ribosomal RNA
Rfam family: Bacterial small subunit ribosomal RNA
Source: RNAcentral
CACGCCGUAAACGAUGGAUACUAGCUGUUGGGCGCAAGUUCAGUGGCUAAGCGAAAGUGAUAAGUAUCCCACCUGGGGAGUACGUUCGCAAGAAUGAAACUCAAAGGAAUUGACGGGGACCCGCACAAGCGGUGGAUGAUGUGGUUUAAUUCGAUGCAACGCGAAAAACCUUACCCACCUUUGACAUGUACGGAAUCCUUUAGAGAUAGAGGAGUGCUCGAAAGAGAGCCGUAACACAGGUGC